This 253-nucleotide ribosomal RNA is filed under the name uncultured bacterium. Its description in RNAcentral is "partial 16S ribosomal RNA". It matches the Rfam family "Bacterial small subunit ribosomal RNA", at positions 524 to 776 of the family's 1533-position model. The record is from RNAcentral.
GACAGAGGGUGCAACCGUUGUUCAGAAUUACUGGGCGUAAAGCGCGUGUAGGCGGCUGUGCAAGUCGGGUGUGAAAGCCCCGGGCUCAACCCGGGAAGUGCAUUCGAUACUGCGCAGCUGGAGUCCCGGAGAGGAUGGUGGAAUUCUCGGUGUAGAGGUGAAAUGCGUAGAUAUCGUUUGGAACGCCAAUGGUGAAAACAGGUAACUGGGAGUGUGCCGACGCUGAGACACGAAAGCUAGGGGAGCGAACGGG